UAUAGCCUACAAAUUCAGAACGGAAACGUAACAACCAUUAUUCUAGCCCUAUUAGAAUUCUUCAUUCGGAAAAUAAUGUGAAUUUACAUAUUUUCAUUCUGUUCCACCAGAAGCGUGUUCAUAAGGUCUCCUACCCUCCCCCAAACAGCCUACCUUUGAAGGGAUGGAUGCUGAUGAUCUUCAGCGCACGCCUCCUCCAGCUCUUCAAUCACUUACGUCACGUGGUGCGUCCCGGGUGGUGGGUGUGGCUUCAGCCAUAGGGUUUCAUUCAUAAAUAGUUUUUGCUUUUAAAUCAGACUUUAAGUGUUCGGCGAAGGUUUUGGCGCUAUUGGCUUCUGCCUAAGUUCCCUCACAUGGACCACCUCAAUUUUAAUUAGCUGAGCUUCUGGUCAGAGUCUAGGCAAGCCUAUGUUGAGAGGACAAAAUAGCCCUGAGGAGGCUGGCCAGCCAGGUGGGUGGGCAGAGGCAGGCUGAGAAUGCAGCAAGGGAGCUGAGGAAGAUCUGAGCAGGGAGACAUCAACAUCCAGAGCUGCUGCACACAGCCCUCCAUCAGGGGGGACGCUCACGCUCGCCUGGACCAUGAGCAAUGAGUCUACCGUCUGGAUCAACCUCACCGAGAACUCCACCGGGGUCCCAUUUGAGCCUGGUAAACAACAGGAUGGUUACAUCCUACUGCUGGUGCUCCUGUCCAUCUUCCUGGGGGGAACACUGGUCCUGCUGUCUGUCCUGCUGAUCAUCUGCAGACGUUGCUGUGAUGGAGACUGCCGCCAUGCCAGGUCAGACCACUAGUCCAGUGGUUCCCAACCAGGGGUACUUGGCCUAUCCACACGGGGUACUUGAGAAGACUCAUGAGACCAUAGGCUUAGUGGUAAAAUGCACAUGAGAGGGUACUCCGGGCAGAGUAAAAUUCCGUUGGUGGUACAGUAACCACGGCACUAGUAUGCAUGGUUUAGUGACUAUGCAUGUCUAUGAGUGAGAUGGAGACCAUUCAAAUCCUGUAUGCACACGUGUCCAUCCCUCUGACAUAAAGAGUGCAUGCAGAGAUGUAACAAUGCAUGUUGUAAGUAUGGUAAAAAGACUACAGUGCAUUCCUUUAUUAUUGAGUUCUAUUGUCUGUCUACAGACCAUUGUUGAUCUAACAUGGAAACAUCGUUAUAUUCAUUUGUAAGUUAUUUUUAAUCGUCUUCAUUUAGAAAUAGCACCUUUGUUGUUAUGUCUGAGAGAUACAGACUUCUAUUUGUAUAUGAUAUGUUUACUCCAUUUCCAUGCGCCCCUCUUUUCAGUACCCAGCAACAGAGUCAGGCAGUGGCAGGCUGCAGGCUGGCCGGGGUAGAGUAGUGCAGACUGGUACAAAUGAUGAGUGUAAUGAGAUUUCAUAGCAGCCAUCAACGCUGAUUCAUUUUGCGUCUCACACUGUCAUAAGCUCUAGCUGCAGCACACACACACACACACACACACACACACACACACACACACACACACACACACACACACACACACACACACACACACACACACACACACACACACACACACACACACACACACACACAGACACAGACAGAGAGAGAGGAAAUGAAAGCACAGCGCCGGGCAGCCAGAGAAAUCCCUCAAGUCAUUCUCACACAGAUAUUAUGAACUGGGUGGUUUGAGCCCUGAAUGCUGAUUGUAUAUCAGAUCUUAAACCACAGGUAUGACAAAACAUGUAUUUGUACUACUCUAAUUACGUUGGUAACCAGUUUAUAAUAGCAAUAAGUCAUCUGUGUUGCGUCGUACCUAAGAACAGCCCUUAGCCGUAGUAUAUUGGCCAUAUACCACACGCCCUCGUGCCUUUUUACUGAAAUAUCAAAUCAAAUUUGAUUUGUCACAUACACAUGGUUAGCAGAUGUUAAUGUGAGUGUAAUGAAAUGCUUGUGCUUCUAGUUCCGACCAUGCAGUAAUAUCUAACAAGUAAUCUAACCUAACAAUUUCACUACCUCACUACACACAAGUGUAAAAGAAUGAAUAAGAAUAUGUACAUAAAAAUAUAUGAAUGAGCGUUGGCCGAACGGCACAGGCAAGAUGCAGUAGAUGCUAUAAAGUACAGUAUAUACAUAUGGGAUGAGUAAUGUAGGGUAUGUAAACAUUAUAUAAAGUGGCAUUGUUUAAAGUGGCUAGUGAUACAUUUAUUACAUAAAUGUUUUAAUUAUUAAAGUGGCUAGAGAUGAGUCAGUAUG
Long non-coding RNA from Oncorhynchus mykiss (rainbow trout), 2216 nucleotides. NCBI's taxonomy places the organism in Eukaryota, Metazoa, Chordata, Actinopteri, Salmoniformes, Salmonidae. The record is from Ensembl.